CCUACGGGGGGCAGCAGUGGGGAAUAUUGGGCAAUGGGCGCAAGCCUGACCCAGCAAUGCCGCGUGAAGGAAGAAGGCUUUCGGGUUGUAAACUUCUUUGACAGGGGAAGAGCAGAAGACGGUACCCUGAAAACAAGCCACGGCUAACUACGUGCCAGCAGCCGCGGUAAUACGUAGGUGGCAAGCGUUGUCCGGAUUUACUGGGUGUAAAGGGCGUGUAGCCGGGAAGGCAAGUCAGAUGUGAAAUCCGGGGGCUCAACCUCCGAAUUGCAUUUGAAACUGUUUUUCUUGAGUACUGGAGAGGCAGACGGAAUGUCUGGUGUAGCGGUGAAAUGCGUAGAUAUAAGAAGGAACACCGGUGGCGAAGGCGGUCGACUGAACAGCAACUGACGGUGAGGCGCGAAAGCGUGGGGAGCGAACAGGAUUAGAUACCCGAGUAGUC
Molecule: ribosomal RNA, 442 nt
Filed under: uncultured bacterium
Lineage: Bacteria
Description: partial 16S ribosomal RNA
Rfam family: Bacterial small subunit ribosomal RNA
Source: RNAcentral